This 496-nucleotide ribosomal RNA is filed under the name uncultured bacterium. Its description in RNAcentral is "partial 16S ribosomal RNA". It matches the Rfam family "Bacterial small subunit ribosomal RNA", at positions 29 to 507 of the family's 1533-position model. The record is from RNAcentral.
AUGAACGCUGGCGGCGUGCCUAAUACAUGCAAGUCGAGCGAACAGACGAGGAGCUUGCUCCUCUGAUGUUAGCGGCGGACGGGUGAGUAACACGUGGAUAACCUACCUAUAAGACUGGGAUAACUUCGGGAAACCGGAGCUAAUGCCGGAUAACAUGUUGAACCGCAUGGUUCAACAGUGAAAGACGGUCUUGCUGUCACUUAUAGAUGGAUCCGCGCCGCAUUAGCUAGUUGGUAAGGUAACGGCUUACCAAGGCAACGAUGCGUAGCCGACCUGAGAGGGUGAUCGGCCACACUGGAACUGAGACACGGUCCAGACUCCUACGGGAGGCAGCAGUAGGGAAUCUUCCGCAAUGGGCGAAAGCCUGACGGAGCAACGCCGAGUGAGUGAAGAAGGUCUUCGGAUCGUAAAACUCUGUUAUUAGGGAAGAACAAAUGUGUAAGUAACUAUGCACGUCUUGACGGUACCUAAUCAGAAAGCCACGGCUAACUACGUG